GAUGAAGAACGUAGCGAAAUGCGAUAAGUAGUGUGAAUUGCAGAAUUCCGUGAAUCAUCGAAUCUUUGAACGCACAUUGCGCCUUCUGGUAUUCCGGAAGGCAUGCCUGUUCGAGAGUCAUUAACAACCGUUUCGAUCCCUUUCUUUCAGAAAUUACAAAGAGGAAAAGGGUUUGGUUAUGGUGGAGGAGGGAAAGGGAGCGUUUAGCCUGUAAAAAAAGAGGCUGUGUUCCGCCUCCCCCCCAAAAUUGUACAGGCGGUCGUGUGCGCCCACGCAUCGAGGUGUUGUAAAAGCUGCCACGGCACUUUUCACCUGUGCAGUGCGAGAUUGGCCAGCCGGUUUAAAAACCCCUCCAAACAAUCAAAGGUUGACCUCGGAUCAGGUAGGGAUACCCGCUGAACUUAAGCAUAUCAAUACGGAGGA
RNAcentral lists this unclassified non-coding RNA (423 nucleotides) under soil metagenome. RNAcentral describes it as "partial contains 5.8S ribosomal RNA, internal transcribed spacer 2, and large subunit ribosomal RNA". The stretch from base 1 to 120 matches the Rfam family "5.8S ribosomal RNA", at positions 35 to 154 of the family's 154-position model. The record is from RNAcentral.